Molecule: small nucleolar RNA, 84 nt
Organism: Pogona vitticeps (central bearded dragon)
Lineage: Eukaryota; Metazoa; Chordata; Lepidosauria; Squamata; Agamidae
Source: Ensembl
GUGGUCUGUGAUGAUGUCUUUCCACCAUUACUUCGAGUGUCAUGGCCAUGAGAUAAUCCUACAUGCACUACCAUCUGAGACCAC